CAGGACUGUAAACUUCAGAGCUAAAAGCAUUUAAUUGAGAAGACAGCAUCGCGCCUGGUGUAACUCACUUGUACAGUUUGCAUUUUCAACCUGAAAACAGAUACUUACGACAGAGGGUAGCGAGUACUCGGCAGACCCUCCCAGCACACGCAGGAUAACCAGACCCACCUCUCUUGGCUGUACAGAAGUUCCUCACUCACAGGAGGAUGUUUUGACCCAGGCUCCAGCACCCUGCAGAGAACAGCAGCAGAUUUUGGAAGGACUUCACCAUCAAGCUCAUACCCAGAGCUCUCAACCAGCCCUCACAGGUGUUAGCACAAAAAAGAUGACGAGGGUAGCAAGGAGCAUGUCUGUACACAGCCCUCUUACCUGAUGGCAGCUCUGGCUUUUACAAGGGCUGACAGCCUUAACAUGGCAGGAAGAAAUCAAAGAUGCAAAGCAGAAAAAAAAAUUAGCCUGAAGUUCACCAGGCAAAGAUCCCUUCUACCACACCCUACUUUUGAAUGGACCUGAAAUCCUCAUGGAGAUUUCUGUUUAACAACAACAUUAUCUUAAAAUUACGUAACGCCUUAUCGAGCCAGCACAUAUUAGUGCACCAGCAAUAACAAUGAUUUAACUGCUACUGUGGGAAUUUCGUUAGAAGAGAGCUGGAGCUGACUGAGCACUGACCCGUGUCGCCUUGCACAGGGGCGAAGGGAGGAAAUGCAGAUGCUCAGGAGCAGCUGAACCACAGCUCCCACCUGGGCCUGUUUGGCCAGAGGGGCUGUUCCUUCGCAGAGACCCCAGAGCAUGGGUUUGAUCUUUUGUAGGGGAGAGCACAAAAGAGAACCCUGUUGUGCAUGACCUUGAUGUAAAUGGCAGCAAGUAUGACCUUAGUGUCUUGUUUCCCUGGAUCUUUAGCCCUUGAAAAGCCCUCCUUUGCAAAAUUGGCUUGUUAGCAUCACUUAGUGUAGAAAAAGCACUAUUAUACUUGCCACCUCCCAGGAGUAUUUAGGGGUGUAUUUACAAAGUGUACCUCAAGGAUAAAGUCUCCAAAGAGAAAUACAUGCAUAAAAUGCUAUUUUCUCGCCUGCUCACUGUCCUUCAGUAGGUUUCUUGCCUUGUCUCCCAAACCUCAAGGCUCUUUAAAAACUGCAGUCAGUUAGUACUGCUUCAUUAUUGAGGUAAAAUUUCAUCACUGGGAUUUGCGAUUGGUUUCUAGUGUUUAGGUUUUUUUUAUUUUGGCCCCUCUCCUUUUGCUGCCUUGCUCUGGGUGCUGAGCACUAUGGGACCAGUAUCCCAUUUUCUAGUGGCCUUUCUUUGAUCCAUCACUUUGUCUGAGAGUCUGGUACAAAACUGCUUCUAAUUACCUGACAUUUAUUCUUCAAACCUUAACUAAUUCACUAAUCAUUAUAGUGAUAAAUGAGAUUUUUAAAAUUAAUCACUGACAUUUUUAAAGAUUUAUACACAACUGGAAAAAAAGGUUCCCAGCUUGUAAAUACAAUGUUGUGUGAAGGAAAAAAACACCCACUAUAAAUUAAAGCUGUCCUGUAUUAAAGGGAAGCAGUAAAAUUGAAGACAUGGGGAGAUGUUACCUGAUGAAUAGCGGUAGCAUCUUAUCACAGUUAGUGUCUUUGUGCUACAGACCACCUUGACAGCAGGAAAACAGCACUGGUAAAAGCCUUGUCACGUGCAAAAUUUAAUUUAACUUCUAAUGUGUAAUUGCUGGGAGUUUGUGAGGCAGGCAGGGAGGUGGCCAAGGGCUGCCUUACUGAGCAGAUUCGGAGUUCACAGUAUUUGCAAUGGAACAUUUACUCCUUGGAAAACAGCAAGGCAGAUUUCUACCACUUAUUCAGUAAGAUAAAUUCAAUUAUUUUAGCUAAUUUAAAAGUCAUCAAUUAAAAGUUUGAAGACUGACUACCAAGCUUGCUAGUUAUAAUUAAUGUUUAUGUAGAUGACAACUAUUUAAAUGUAACAUCAAGCCUUAUCACCAAACUCAGAAUUGUCAUUGCACAUUACCAGCAUUUUGGAUAAUCUUUCUCCCUUUAAUGAGAGAACUGGCAUUUGAGCUUAUAUUUUGGAUGCUGCUAUUGUUUAUUAUUAAUAGCAAAGUUAUUUAAACACAGUAUUACCUAACACUGUUACAGGCAUAGAAGAAGAGAGAAUUCCUGCAUCAAGUACAGCCGCUAUGAGCAACCUUUGCAAACCAGACAUAAUCAGUGUUUUACUGGGAUCUAUGCUAGUCUCUAGAUUUUGGUGGUAACUUUUUUUCUUUUAUCUACAGGGUACAGACUAGCAAAAUAACAGUUACUAGGGGGAACUUGCAUGUUGAAUUUUAUGAUCAUUGCCAAAGAAAGUGACAUAAGUGUAACAUAUCCACCAUGGCUCCUGUUUUAAAUCACAACUACCAAAUUAGGAACUCACAUUUGGCAUCCUACCCAAAUCCAUAGGACUGGCACUAUGUCCCAUAACAACUUACAGCAGUUUAGUACACAGUAGGUGGUGUACACCAAUGAAAUGAAAAAUGGGCUUAACACACCUGCUUCUGGCUCUCUGUGUCAUGAAAAAAUGUUUGACAGAAAUAACUGGCAAUGACAACCUUUGAGUUGGAUUUUUUCCUGGUUACAGUCAAAGUGAAUGCCACAAGAUCUAAGGGGAACCAGCACAUGAGCACAGUCAUAGUUUUAAAACUAAACUAAAGCUGUUUUCUUUGAAGCCUAGAGAAUGUGCUUUGUUUAGACUGAUGUUAAGAGAUAUUAUGCCAUUUUUGAAUGGAACUGCAUUAAGUAAAAAAAGCUCCCCCUUGCCUAUGUUUCCUGAACAAAGUCCUUUCUAAAAGAGUUUUUAAUGAAUUUUACAUCAUGACUCCCACUUAAUUGGAUUUCCAAGAUGUGCAUAAAUGUGGUGAGAAUUACAUCAUGAACAGGUACUAUGGAUAGGAUAUAGGUGAUGCUACCUAUGUAUCUUGGCAAAAUCUUAUGAUCUUAAACUUUGAUGCUGACACGUGGGGCAUUUCUCUCACAGCAGGUUCCCGAUGAUAUUUAGAGGCAGCAAUAUCAAAAUAGGCAAGUGACUAAACUAUUUAUAACUGCAAAAGGGCUUUUUUUUAUUAUUAUUAUUUGCAGCUGGUCUGAAGGUACUUUAACACCAGACUUUUUAUGAGCUUUCUUACUGCUCAUGUGCACACUUACUAGCAUAUCCCAUCAGCAGAGACUUCUAGUGUGAGAUCAGCUAGUAAUAAAAUUAUUAAAAUAUUAGGAAAUUUCAAAAUUGCUUGCACUUUUGCUUAGAUGUAAGAGCCACAUACUCUAAGUUACAUUUUUAAGAGUCCUGUGCAAGAAACACAAUAUGUUUUUGAUUGCUUGUUUUAUUAAGUGAAAUGAACAGGCUAAUUAAAGAAAUUCCAGGAAGUUUCUGCUUUCUGUCUCCUAGGGACAUGCCUCAAGUGUCAAAGGAGAUACUACUGAUGGCUAUAAAACACCUAAGUGUGUUUAUACUGGCUGUAAAAUGCAACUUAUAGCUUCUAUUUAACUUUCAUAAUAUUUCCUUUUUAUACCAUGCUUAGAAAUUCAUAUUAAGGCAUUAGUUGAAAUAGUGCUUGUAUAUAUUUGAAAAAAAUCCCUGGUAAUUCCAAGUUAAAAACCGAAGGCAAGCCAUUGGCAAAACAGUCUUGGGAAUAAACUGUUAUGACUAUAAUUUCAUCCAUAAACACUAAAAACUAAGAACAAGCUAGCCAUUGAAAAAUAUAAGUCUCCAAGAUACCUCUAGUCUUGUCUUUCAAAAUGUGUUUAACGCUGAGUGAUGAUCUUCUACUUGAAGCCAUAAGCUAUGCCACAGAGCUGGCUGUGGUUCUGCAAUCAGUUCAGACUUCUAGAACCACUAGAUCCACUUGUAGAUCCACUGGAUGGAAUUUGAAGGAUUGUUAAAGAAACUGAACGUUCUCAUAAGCAACCCAAACCAGCAAUUCUGAGGUGCUAUAUAGAACUGACACACAAUUACUCUAUUUUCUAAUACCAGUCCUUCAAAGUAAUUUCUAUAUUCUUAGAGAACCUAUGUAUGUGUUACUGAAGCUAGUAGACAGUAAUGUUUUUAAUGAGGAUAUUAGUUAUCCCAUGCAACUUGCUUCUCAGAAAGAGUUGCAUCUUCUAGACUACUUAGGGUUCUUUGAGAUAAUGUUCAUGUUUUAGAGCACAUGAAAUGUUUAAGGGUAUUUUAAGGCUCAGUAAUGCAGUUUACUUGAACAAAGGUGUAUGAGCCCUGAUAAGGCAAACUGCAUCAGAUUUGAAGUUGAAUUCUAUGUGAUAGUUUAGAAAAUGGACUAUAUGAAUAAGAAAUGAAGUUUGGAAAAGUUCUGAUAAUUUCCUGCUGUAUAGACAUAUGCAAUCUACUUAUCAGGUGCCUUUGUAAAAUGAACUUUAAUGACUUGAAGAUGCUUCUAAGUCCAAGCCUCAGAGUGUUGAGAUAGCAGAAGCACUGGAUAACUAAUUUGCAGUUCAACAAGUCUCUGAGAGAUGUGUUUACUUCCACCAGGAAGACUUUUGAAGAAUAUAAAAUCUUCCAAACCAAGUGGGCAAGCACAUGCACUAGUGAUAUCUCUCUGCUUUAAUGUACAGCUAAGUGUGAGCAGGCAGGUAACGGCAGCAGGGUGCAAAAGGCAGCAGAGAAUAAUGUGGGAAAUAUCUUUCAAGACCAGCAUUAGUUCUUCAGGAUUGCAGAGAGACGACAUUUACCAAAGCAACUUCAAAGAGCUGAAAGAGAUUAAAGUUUUCCUCUUAAUGAUUCUAAAGUGUUACUGAAGGGAUCAAUAGCUCUUCUGUUAAACAAGCUGUUCAAAUCAAGUAUUCCUGGAGAGGAGAUAAACCAGUCCUGGAAGUAAUAGCGAGAUUUAAUUAGAAUUUGAAAUUGUUCAGUAUUCGUUAAUUUAUCUGCCAGUAUCACAAUAGUUUUAGUGAACUGUAAGUUUACAACAGUAGGAUUCCUUAUGAAAGGAAAAAAUUAUCUGAUUCUUUCUGAGCCCUUUUAACUGUGCCUCAAUUAUUUACUAUGUAGCCCACAUAGAGAGAAAUUUCUCUUUUCUGUACCUGAUGUCACUGGUUUUUUCUGGGGGAGGAGGAGAGAAGGAAGGGAGAAAAAAUCGUUACUUCCCGUUUCUUUAAUAAUAAAAUAAUUGCAUCCCA
Molecule: long non-coding RNA, 5156 nt
Organism: Pseudopipra pipra
Lineage: Eukaryota; Metazoa; Chordata; Aves; Passeriformes; Pipridae
Exons: 2
Source: RefSeq, a predicted model, not a curated record